This 1543-nucleotide long non-coding RNA is filed under the name Ananas comosus (pineapple). RNAcentral describes it as "long non-coding RNA (ACOM_LNC043761)". The record is from RNAcentral. Lineage: Eukaryota; Viridiplantae; Streptophyta; Magnoliopsida; Poales; Bromeliaceae.
CGUGUACCGGUACACUUUGGCAGAAUCUGAGCAGUUUGAACUGCAGGGGUUUUUUCGCAAUUGUGGCGUCUCUAUUAGUACCCCCACGCCCUAGGGGUCUUCCCUGAGCUUGACACCAGCAAGGAGAAGGGUAAGGGAGCCCUCCACACUCUUCCAUUCCCUUUACUUGUUUUUGCUUGGAUUUUUAUGGGAUUAAGCUCUCUUUUGCUUGAUUAGAGACUUCCUCACCUCGAUUGAAGCUUGGAGCUUGGCUUUGGAGCCUUGUUGGGGGGAGACCCUUGGACUUGGAGAGUUUAGAGCUUAGAUUGAAGCUUCUAAGAGGUAAUCUACUUGCUCUCUCCCUCUAGAUAUGAAUUUUAUUGUUGGAUUCAAGAUCAAACCCUAGAAAUGGAAAUUUAGGGUUUAUUUGGGCAUUUUGCAUUUAGGGCUUUUGGAGCUAAAUUAGUUGGUUUAAAACCUUCCUAAGGCUUGGAUUAGAAGGAUUCUAGCCCUCAUUUGGAGCUUAAGAGAGGAUUUUUACUCUUGAGAUGAGUUUUGGCCCUUUUUGCUCCUAGGUUAAUGUUUGAUAUUAUAUGAUGAUCGUAAUGCCCGUGUAUCUUUUCGCUCAAUCCUUUUAGAGUAUUUUGAGACUCGGGGACAACUCUGUUCGGCAAAACGAGGCCCUACGCGACGGUUCGGUGGGUUUGACCUAGCCCUUAUAUGAGAAAUUCUCAUAUAUUGUGAAAUAUGUUCCGUAAAUUGGAAAAGCAAGCAUAUUCAUAUUAAAUGUAUUUAUUAUGAUUUUUAGAAUGCUUAAUAUACAUAUGUUAUGUAUAGUAAAUUUUUGGACCCCUAUGUGGUAGGGUACAUGCUUGUGGGAUAUAGCAUUCUAGUUGAGACUUGGAACCAUGAUUCCUAUUAUGAAAAUUGAACAUUGUUUCUAUGCAUUCCACCCUUAUGCCUAAUCGUGAUGUUAGGGACUUUGGAUGCCUAGAGAGGCUUGGGGACUUAGUUUAUUUGGAAUUUUGGGUCAAUGUCAUAAAGAGGCAUUGGGCCCCGAGUUAUAGUAAACAUCGGUAUUAAUGUCAUAUUUGGGACAUAGAACAUGAUUUGAGCUUGGUUAGUUGUGGUGCUUAAGUGUCAUAAAGAGGCACUAAGCAAGUGAGUAUUGAGAUAUCACCUUGUGACUUUGAGCUAGACCGUUGGGUUACUAGUAGCUAUUGCCAUGUUAGAGACAUGAGGAUUGGAUACUCGAGACUUGGACUAUGCUUGUUUGCCAUUUGUGCUCAUUCGCACAUGCUUGUGAGGGUCGCUCCCUACAAGCCGGCACUCCGGAGUUAGCCUACGCGACUUUUGAUCGCUCGUGCGGUAUUGAGAAGCCUACGGGGUCGAGUGGGACAGACACAUUCCAAGAGUAGGGAUGUUGGGCUACCACAGGCACUUAGGCGGCACAAGCUGGACUACCUUUGGUAGGUCCUCUGUUGGAAAUGGAAAUCGACACGGUGUUGAGUUUAUUAUGAUCACUACUAGACAGAGAGUAGUAGUUGGAUUACUUGGACUNNNN